GGUAAUUUAUAUCGUGGAUCAGGGUUCAUAGUGCAUUGUGGACCCUAAUCCAAUAUACAUAAUUUGACUUCACAAUGAUUAGGAAUUACAAU
Ipomoea nil (Japanese morning glory) is the source of this 92-nucleotide long non-coding RNA. RefSeq lists it as uncharacterized. Lineage: Eukaryota; Viridiplantae; Streptophyta; Magnoliopsida; Solanales; Convolvulaceae. The record is from RefSeq and is a predicted model, not a curated record. The transcript is spliced from 3 exons.